AGCAGCCGCGGUAAUUCCAGCUCCAAUAGCGUAUAUUAAAGUUGUUGCAGUUAAAAAGCUCGUAAGUUGAAUUUCGGGGUUAGUAGGUUGGUCAUGCCACUGGUAUGUACUGGUCUCACUGAUUCCUCCUUCCUGAUGAGCCGUAAUGCCAUUAAUUUGGUGUUGCGGGGAA
RNAcentral lists this unclassified non-coding RNA (172 nucleotides) under uncultured Glomus. RNAcentral describes it as "sequence contains 18S rRNA gene". It matches the Rfam family "Eukaryotic small subunit ribosomal RNA", at positions 569 to 739 of the family's 1831-position model. The record is from RNAcentral. Lineage: Eukaryota; Fungi; Glomeromycota; Glomeromycetes; Glomerales; Glomeraceae.